UGGGGAAUCUUGCGCAAUGGGCGAAAGCCUGACGCAGCAACGCCGCGUGCGGGAAGAAGGUCUUCGGGUUGUAAACCGCUUUCAGCAGGGACGAAGGCAACUGGGUUAAUAGCCCAGAAGUUGACGGUACUUGCAGAAGAAGGUCCGGCUAACUACGUGCCAGCAGCCGCGGUAAUACGUAGGGACCGAGCGUUGUCCGGAAUCAUUGGGCGUAAAGAGCGUGUAGGCGGCUCGCUAAGUCUUGCGUGAAAUCUCGGGGCUCAACCCCGAGCGGUCGUGAGAAACUGGCGGGCUAGAGUGCGGGAGAGGAGAGUGGAAUUCCUGGUGUAGCGGUGAAAUGCGCAGAUAUCAGGAAGAACACCCGUGGCGAAGGCGGCUCUCUGGAACGCAACUGACGCUGAGACGCGAAAGCGUGGGGAGCAAACAGGAUUAGAUACCCGCGUAGUCC
RNAcentral lists this ribosomal RNA (448 nucleotides) under uncultured bacterium. RNAcentral's name for it is "bacterial SSU rRNA". It matches the Rfam family "Bacterial small subunit ribosomal RNA", at positions 355 to 796 of the family's 1533-position model. The record is from RNAcentral.